Molecule: ribosomal RNA, 497 nt
Filed under: uncultured bacterium
Lineage: Bacteria
Description: partial 16S ribosomal RNA
Rfam family: Bacterial small subunit ribosomal RNA
Source: RNAcentral
GAUGAACGCUGGCGGCGUGCCUAAUACAUGCAAGUCGAGCGAACAGACGAGGAGCUUGCUUCUCUGAUGUUAGCGGCGGACGGGUGAGUAACACGUGGAUAACCUACCUAUAAGACUGGGAUAACUUCGGGAAACCGGAGCUAAUACCGGAUAAUAUUUUGAACCGCAUGGUUCAAUAGUGAAAGACGGUCUUGCUGUCACUUAUAGAUGGAUCCGCGCCGCAUUAGCUAGUUGGUAAGGUAACGGCUUACCAAGGCAACGAUGCGUAGCCGACCUGAGAGGGUGAUCGGCCACACUGGAACUGAGACACGGUCCAGACUCCUACGGGAGGCAGCAGUAGGGAAUCUUCCGCAAUGGGCGAAAGCCUGACGGAGCAACGCCGCGUGAGUGAUGAAGGUCUUCGGAUCGUAAAACUCUGUUAUUAGGGAAGAACAAAUGUGUAAGUAACUAUGCACGUCUUGACGGUACCUAAUCAGAAAGCCACGGCUAACUACGUG